GUGUUUUUUUGUACAGGUAUUUUGAAAGAGUGCAGUUCCAGGACUUUUCAUCAGAUGUCACUUUUAUUAGCCCUGACGUCACCCAGUUCAUCAAGUACAGCCAAGGAGAUGACCUGGCACCAUUUCUUGAACCACUGGAGCUCUCCUCCAAAAAAUUAGUUUUCCUGGCUGUCAAUGAUAACGCCAACCUAGAGUCUGCUGGUGGCUCUCACUGGAGUUUACUACUGUACAGACGAGAUGUUGCAGAAUUUCAACAUUACGAUUCCGCUCAGGGAAGUGGCAAUUCAGCUCCAGCAAAACUCCUGGUUAAAAGAGUUCAGCCUUUCCUAGGACAAUCAUCGAAAAUUACCGUUAAGGAGGUGGAUGCUUCACAUCAGCAAAACAGUUAUGACUGUGGAGUCUAUGUCAUCAGUAACACUGAACACCUGUGUAGACAGUUACUACAGGGGGACAGCAGUGAUAUCAAGGAGGCUGUCACCAGUACAAGCGUCAAACAAAAAAGAACACAACUUCAGGAACUUAUAAGCUCCUUAGGGAAAUCUUAGUGUCUUAGAUUUUUCAAUAUCUGCUUUCUCUCUGAAAGAAAAACCAACAUAUAAUACAAUGGACAUUUUUAGUCCAGUGUAUACAAGUACCAUACUUGGUAGUAAGAUAGAUGUAGUGAAAGCAACAUAGCAACAAUGGAAUGCAAAUGUAGUUCUGCCUCCUUGGUUUAACUUUGUCAGCUUGUCA
Branchiostoma floridae (Florida lancelet) is the source of this 732-nucleotide long non-coding RNA. RefSeq lists it as uncharacterized. The transcript is spliced from 5 exons. Lineage: Eukaryota; Metazoa; Chordata; Leptocardii; Amphioxiformes; Branchiostomatidae. The record is from RefSeq and is a predicted model, not a curated record.